This 350-nucleotide long non-coding RNA is filed under the name Capsicum annuum. Its description in RNAcentral is "long non-coding RNA (CANN_LNC010994)". Lineage: Eukaryota; Viridiplantae; Streptophyta; Magnoliopsida; Solanales; Solanaceae. The record is from RNAcentral.
UGCAUAUAUAAUGUACAAGUAUGACCAAGGUGAUUUGAGGUUGCGGUAUUUUCUAAGACUAUUACACGUUUUGUGUGACGAGUGGUACCGUUGAGUUGCUAGGUGGAGAAAGACUAGUUAGAUGGUAUAUGGUGUUCUAAAUAGCCAAGUUAAGGAGUUUUGAUUGAUAGUGUUGAGCCUUUUUAUAUGAUCUUGAUUCUCAUAGUAGAGAGAUGUAAGUUUGGAGUCGCGAUAUUGGUAGGCUAUGUCGGAAGUAGUAUGAUUCAUUGAAGGCUUGGUGAUAUCCAUGUUGAGUGCUAGAUUCUAAGUUUGAGUUUUUGAAGGUUGAACUAAUAGAAAUAAGAGUUAAA